CCCUUCUUCUGGUGUUUUUUGUAGGUGAGCCUAGCAUAUGGUUAUAUCUACAUGUACCGUAUAUUUGGAGGUGGUUUGAUACAGAGAACACCAGAAACAUAGCCAAUAGGAAUGCCGUGUAGCUUUCAAGUGUUCAGGAGGAAUAACUCUGUCUCUAGAAGUAUCUUCAGAGAUUCUUCAUACCAAAUCUGGCAUUGCAUGAAACUCUGAUGGUUAUAUACUUCCAAAAGAAAGUUUCGUAUCUGCCUCUACAAGUAAGAGAAGAUUAUACUCCCUCUUCACUUCAUAUUUUUGUUUGUUUAUUUGCCAUUGGUGGCUGCAAGAGAUGGAGACAGAAAAAGAUGGAUGGAUGGAUGUGCAAAGGAGAUCCUCAGUACCACAUUUGCUUACCUUUUAAUUCCUUUCCCAUCUACUGGCAUCUAUUCCUUUAAAGGCAGAAAGUUGCUAUAUGUUAGAGUAUUCUUCUGCAUCUUGUUUAAUUGUAAGACAUCUUCUAU
This is a long non-coding RNA of Lagopus leucura (white-tailed ptarmigan), 497 nucleotides long. RefSeq lists it as uncharacterized. Lineage: Eukaryota; Metazoa; Chordata; Aves; Galliformes; Phasianidae. The record is from RefSeq and is a predicted model, not a curated record. The transcript has 3 exons.